This is a long non-coding RNA of Lycium barbarum (goji berry), 631 nucleotides long. RefSeq lists it as uncharacterized. The transcript has 3 exons. NCBI's taxonomy places the organism in Eukaryota, Viridiplantae, Streptophyta, Magnoliopsida, Solanales, Solanaceae. The record is from RefSeq and is a predicted model, not a curated record.
AAAUUUCUGGAGGAAAGGAGAGAAAAUAUCUUAGAGAGAAAAAUCAAUUUUUGACCAAAAUCCGAGCCCCGAAUUCCGAAGCCCAUGAAGAGAAAAGUGUUGUACGUCGCGUUGUCUUCAAUUUGAGCUAAAAAUCAACCAAAGAGGAGAGUUAUGACGUGGUGGCUGCCUACUUAAGAUUUUGGACGAAACGGGAUUUGAAUUUGGAGAGGCGUAAGGAGCGAAUAAGGUACACCCAGAUGAUGCGAAGUUAUUAUAGAGGAUGUUCCAGCAGAAUUGGCAAGCUCUUUUUGCUCCUGGAGUGCUGCCGAGUCAGAGUGUAUGCCAUGUUUUCUGAUUAUUUGUUAGAGACUUUGCAGACAGAGUCGUGGGUAUAGUAUGUCAGUUGUGUAUGCGGCUUCAUCAGCCGAUAUGUCGUUCUGUACUAUGUGUUAAAUUCUGUAUGAUCAUAGAUCCUGUUUGAUUUGGAAAACAUCGGACAAGAAUAUUUUGAGAGUUUAUCGUGUAUUUUAUUUUUAUUUGAUUUAGAAAGUCUAUUAGGAUUAUGUGUGUUCUAAAGGUCUGUGGGUUCGCUCGGCUUCGGAUGUGGGGCCGGGUGCCCAUCACACUCUAGCGGAAUUAGGGUGUGACA